This is a long non-coding RNA of Oncorhynchus keta (chum salmon), 101 nucleotides long. RefSeq lists it as uncharacterized. NCBI's taxonomy places the organism in Eukaryota, Metazoa, Chordata, Actinopteri, Salmoniformes, Salmonidae. The record is from RefSeq and is a predicted model, not a curated record. The transcript is spliced from 3 exons.
GUUUAUUAGUGAUGGUAGGUAGUAGUUUAUUAGUGAUGGUAGGUAGUAGUUUAUUAGUGGUGGUAGGUAGUAGUUUAUUAGUGGUGGUAGAUAGUAGUUUA